Eurytemora carolleeae is the source of this 916-nucleotide long non-coding RNA. RefSeq lists it as uncharacterized. The transcript has 4 exons. The record is from RefSeq and is a predicted model, not a curated record. Lineage: Eukaryota; Metazoa; Arthropoda; Copepoda; Calanoida; Temoridae.
AGGGUAUUCAUGUCAACACCUUGAAAACUAAGCUUGUAGAGUGUGGUAAACCCGGGCUUUCUGGAGCUACGAGCGUCGCAAAAAAUGCAGCAGUGGACAGAUUAACUGACACAUCCAGAUAUGGAGGAACUCACAAACAAAGAUUUGAUACAACUGGAAAGGGGAAAGGAAAGGAAGGACGAGUUGACCCCAAGUCUGACGGCUACGUGAACGGGUUCAAGGGGAAAACGGUUCCCAAGGAGCGAUGAAUAGAAUGGAUGCCAGAAAAUAAAUUUUAGUGUUUAUAUUGUUAUUUUAACGCAUAUAUUUCCCGCCUGAAAAUUUAAUUAAUAUCAUUGUAUGCCAAUAUGUGGUGUGCCAUAUAGUUUAAACUCUCUCGAUUUCUUGCUUCUUUAAAAAUUAUCAUCAAAAAAUGGAGAUUUCCAGCCGAUAAUAUGGCAUAUCUUUCUUCACAAUAUUCAUCUUUAAUUAAAAUUUAAAACUUAAAAAUUUCUAUUUGUAAAAUAUUUUUUUCUUUCUCAGUGUUUGUGUUGCAAUAUAUUUCUUUAAAAUGGGACCUAAGGAACGACUACUAAAUGAAAAGCUAUUAUUAUUUUUCUUAAACAGAAAAAUGACUUCUAAAUCAGGUUAGCCGUUGCAGAAAAAAAGAGAUGCAUUUUUUAAAACUUUUUUCAUCCAAGCAUAAAGAUCUCAUGUGUGUCUUAUGCAAAUCUCAUAAUAUUACAUUUUAAAUAAGGUUUGGUUUUUAUUAAAUUCAAAUAACAACAAUAAACAUUAAUUGUUGUCACUAAAUUCCCAUGUUUAUUAUACAGACUCUGUUUUAUGUUAAUUGCAUCUAAGAUUGCGCACAAUUUUGUUUAAGUAAUUAAUUGUAUGUAUUGUAUAAAAAAAAUAUAUAAUAUAUUAUAUAAAUACG